RNAcentral lists this ribosomal RNA (2046 nucleotides) under human gut metagenome. Its description in RNAcentral is "bacterial LSU rRNA". It matches the Rfam family "Bacterial large subunit ribosomal RNA", at positions 293 to 2471 of the family's 2925-position model. The record is from RNAcentral.
CCCAGCCGAUGGAUAGUCAGUAAAGAAUCAGAAUUACCUGGAAAGGUAAGCCGGAGAGGGUGACAGCCCCGUACGAGUAGAAAAGCUGACUGUUCUUGAGUAAGGCGGAGCACGAGAAAUUCUGUCUGAAAAUGGGGAGACCACUCUCCAAGGCUAAGUACUACUGAUUGACCGAUAGUGAACAAGUACCGUGAGGGAAAGGUGAAAAGCACCCCUAUAAGGGGAGUGAAAGAGAACCUGAAACCGGAUGCCUACAAGCAGUCGGAGGGUCAUAAGGCCUGACGGCGUACCUUUUGUAUAAUGGGUCAGCGACUUAAUUUAUGUAGCAAGCUUAAGCCGAUAGGUGUAGGCGUAGAGAAAUCGAGUGUUAACAGCGCGUUAAGUUACAUGAAUUAGACCCGAAACCGAGUGAUCUAGCCAUGAUCAGGUUGAAGGUUGGGUAACACCAACUGGAGGACCGAACCCACUCCCGUUGAAAAGGUAGGGGAUGAAUUGUGGCUAGGGGUGAAAGGCCAAUCAAACUCGGAAAUAGCUGGUUCUCCGCGAAAACUAUUUAGGUAGUGCGGUGAGCGGACACCUUGAGGGGUAGAGCACUGGAAGAGCUAAGGGGGAGCGAUCCUUACUAAACUUUACCAAACUCCGAAUACUCAAGAGUGAUACUCACCAGACAGACAUUAGGUGCUAAGGUCUAGUGUCGAGAGGGAAAGAGCCCAGACCGCCAAUUAAGGUCCCAAAAUUAUGGCUAAGUGGUAAAGGAAGUGAAACGUCCAAAACAGUCAGGAGGUUGGCUUAGAAGCAGCCAUCCUUUAAAGAAAGCGUAAUAGCUCACUGAUCUAAACAAGACGUCUUGCGCCGAAGAUGUAACGGGGCUAAAGCCAUAUACCGAAGUUGCGGAUUUACACGUUAAAGUGUAAGUGGUAGCGGAGCGUUCUGUAAGCCUGCGAAGGUGUACCGUAAGGUAUGCUGGAGGUAUCAGAAGUGAGAAUGCUGACAUGAGUAGCGAAAAGAAGAGUGAGAGACUCUUCCGCUGAAAGUCCAAGGUUUCCUGCGUAAAGCUAAUCUGCGCAGGGUUAGUCGGUCCCUAAGGCGAGGCAGAGAUGCGUAGUCGAUGGCAAUCAGGUUAAUAUUCCUGAACCGGCCCGGAAGUGACGGAUUGAGUAAAUUGUAAGUUCUUAUUGGAUUGAGCUUGCAGUGAAUCAGUCCCAGGAAAUAGCCCGGGCUAAGACCGUACCCGAAACCGACACAGGUGGACAGGUAGAGAAUACCAAAGCGCUUGAGAGAACUAUGUUGAAGGAACUAGGCAAAAUACUUGCGUAACUUCGGGAUAAGCAAGCCCCAUUUUAAGGCAACUUAGGGUGGGGGGCACAUACUAGGGGGUAGCGACUGUUUACUAAAAACACAGGGCUCUGCUAAAUUGAAAGAUGAAGUAUAGGGUCUGACGCCUGCCCGGUGCUGGAAGGUUAAGGAGAGAUGUGCAAGCAUUGAACUGAAGCCCCAGUAAACGGCGGCCGUAACUAUAACGGUCCUAAGGUAGCGAAAUUCCUUGUCGGGUAAGUUCCGACCUGCACGAAUGGCGUAACGACUUCCCCGCUGUCUCCAACAUAGGCUCAGCGAAAUUGAACUCUGAGUUAAGAUGCUCAGUACCCGCGGUUAGACGGAGAGACCCCGUGAACCUUUACUAUAGCUUUGCAGUGGUAUUAGGUAACAAAUGUGUAGAAUAGGUGGGAUGCUAUGAAGCUACGACGCCAGUUGUAGUGGAGCAGACUUUGAAAUACCACCCUUUUGUUGUUUGAUAUCUAACCUGCUCCCGUUAUCCGGGAGAGGGACCCUGCAUGGUGGGUAGUUUGACUGGGGCGGUCGCCUCCCAAAGAGUAACGGAGGCGCGCAAAGGUUGGCUCAGAUUGGUCAGAAAUCAAUCGUCGAGUGCAAUGGCAUAAGCCAGCCUGACUGCGAGAGAGACAUUUCGAGCAGAUACGAAAGUAGGUCAUAGUGAUCCGGUGGUCCCGAGUGGAAGGGCCAUCGCUCAACGGAUAAAAGGUACUCCGG